UAAACGACUCUCGGCAACGGAUAUCUCGGCUCACGCAUCGAUGAAGAACGUAGCAAAAUGCGAUACUUGGUGUGAAUUGCAGAAUCCCGUGAACCAUCGAGUUUUUGAACGCAAGUUGCGCCCGAAGCCAUCAGGUUGAGGGCACGUCUGCCUGGGCGUCACGU
This 164-nucleotide ribosomal RNA is filed under the name Pectis odorata. RNAcentral's name for it is "5.8S ribosomal RNA". It matches the Rfam family "5.8S ribosomal RNA". From Rfam's summary of the family: 5.8S ribosomal RNA (5.8S rRNA) is a component of the large subunit of the eukaryotic ribosome. It is transcribed by RNA polymerase I as part of the 45S precursor that also contains 18S and 28S rRNA. Lineage: Eukaryota; Viridiplantae; Streptophyta; Magnoliopsida; Asterales; Asteraceae. The record is from RNAcentral.